GACUCCGUGGCGCAAUGGGACCGCGUCUGACUCCAGAUCAGAAGGUUUCGUUUUCAAAUCACGUCGGGGUCA
Nematostella vectensis (starlet sea anemone) is the source of this 72-nucleotide non-coding RNA. The record is from Rfam. Lineage: Eukaryota; Metazoa; Cnidaria; Anthozoa; Actiniaria; Edwardsiidae.